CAGUCGCCGCGGUAAUACAGAGGGUGCGAGCGUUAAUCGGAUUUACUGGGCGUAAAGUGUGCGUAGGCGGCUUUUUAAGUCGGAUGUGAAAUCCCUGAGCUUAACUUAGGAAUUGCAUUCGAUACUGGGAAGCUAGAGUAUGGGAGAGGAUGGUAGAAUUCCAGGUGUAGCGGUGAAAUGCGUAGAGAUCUGGAGGAAUACCGAUGGCGAAGGCAGCCAUCUGGCCUAAUACUGACGCUGAGGUACGAAAGCAUGGGGAGCAAACAGGAUUAGAUACCCGAGUAGUCCCUGUCUCUUAUAA
Molecule: ribosomal RNA, 301 nt
Filed under: uncultured bacterium
Lineage: Bacteria
Description: partial 16S ribosomal RNA
Rfam family: Bacterial small subunit ribosomal RNA
Source: RNAcentral